RNAcentral lists this ribosomal RNA (517 nucleotides) under uncultured Actinomycetes bacterium. RNAcentral describes it as "bacterial SSU rRNA". It matches the Rfam family "Bacterial small subunit ribosomal RNA", at positions 355 to 863 of the family's 1533-position model. The record is from RNAcentral. Lineage: Bacteria; Bacillati; Actinomycetota; Actinomycetes.
UAGGGAAUCUUGCGCAAUGCGCGAAAGCGUGACGCAGCAACGCCGCGUGGGGGAAGAAGGCCUUCGGGUUGUAAACCCCUUUCAGGAGGGACGAAGGUGCGGCGGCGAACAGCCGUCCGUACUGACGGUACCUCCAGAAGAAGCCCCGGCUAACUACGUGCCAGCAGCCGCGGUAAUACGUAGGGGGCUAGCGCUGUCCGGAAUCAUUGGGCGUAAAGCGCGCGUAGGCGGCCCGGUAAGUCCGCUGUAAAAGUCCAGGGCUCAACCCUGGAAAGCCGGUGGAUACUGUCGGGCUCGAGUCCGGAAGAGGCGAGUGGAAUUCCUGGUGUAGCGGUGGAAUGCGCAGAUAUCGGGAGGAACACCAAUUGCGAAGGCAGCUCGCUGGGACGUUACUGACGCUGAGACGCGAAAGCGUGGGGAGCAAACAGGAUUAGAUACCCUGGUAGUCCACGCCGUAAACGAUGGGCACUAGGUGUGGGGGGUGUCGACUCCCUCCGUGCCGAAGCUAACGCAUUAA